RNAcentral lists this ribosomal RNA (744 nucleotides) under uncultured bacterium. RNAcentral's name for it is "bacterial SSU rRNA". It matches the Rfam family "Bacterial small subunit ribosomal RNA", at positions 8 to 796 of the family's 1533-position model. The record is from RNAcentral.
AGAGUUUGAUCAUGGCUCAGAGCGAACGCUGGCGGCAGGCUUAACACAUGCAAGUCGAGCGGGCGUAGCAAUACGUCAGCGGCAGACGGGUGAGUAACGCGUGGGAACGUACCUUUUGGUUCGGAACAACACAGGGAAACUUGUGCUAAUACCGGAUAAGCCCUUACGGGGAAAGAUUUAUCGCCGAAAGAUCGGCCCGCGUCUGAUUAGCUAGUUGGUGAGGUAAUGGCUCACCAAGGCGACGAUCAGUAGCUGGUCUGAGAGGAUGAUCAGCCACAUUGGGACUGAGACACGGCCCAAACUCCUACGGGAGGCAGCAGUGGGGAAUAUUGGACAAUGGGCGCAAGCCUGAUCCAGCCAUGCCGCGUGAGUGAUGAAGGCCCUAGGGUUGUAAAGCUCUUUUGUGCGGGAAGAUAAUGACGGUACCGCNGAAUAAGCCCCGGCUAACUUUCGUGCCAGCAGCCGCGGUAAUACGAAGGGGGCUAGCUGCUCGGGAAUCACUGGGGCGUAAAGGGUGCGUAGGCGGGUCUUUAAGUCAGGGGUGAAAUCCUGGAGCUCAACUCCAGAACUGCCUUUGAUACUGAGGAUCUUGAGUUCGGGAGAGGUGAGUGGAACUGCGAGUGUAGAGGUGAAAUUCGUAGAUAUUCGCAAGAACACCAGUGGCGAAGGCGGCUCACUGGCCCGAUACUGACGCUGAGGCACGAAAGCGUGGGGAGCAAACAGGAUUAGAUACCCUAGUAGUCC